This 240-nucleotide ribosomal RNA is filed under the name uncultured bacterium. RNAcentral describes it as "partial 16S ribosomal RNA". It matches the Rfam family "Bacterial small subunit ribosomal RNA", at positions 96 to 334 of the family's 1533-position model. The record is from RNAcentral.
UGGCGAACGGGUGAGUAACGCGUGAGGAACCUGCCUCAAAGAGGGGGACAACAGUUGGAAACGACUGCUAAUACCGCAUAAGCCCACGGGUCGGCAUCGACCUGAGGGAAAAGGAGCAAUCCGCUUUGAGAUGGCCUCGCGUCCGAUUAGCUAGUUGGUGAGGUAACGGCCCACCAAGGCGACGAUCGGUAGCCGGACUGAGAGGUUGAACGGCCACAUUGGGACUGAAACACGGCCCAG